AUGACCGCCAUGGUUCGUUUCGUCUUCGUCGUGUUAUUUACAGCCACUGUUUUCCAACAUGUGGUGUCCAUGUCAGUGCCAGAAAUAUAUGAAAAUUACCCGUGUGCUGGAGGUCUGCAAAGUCUAACGUCUGAGCAUGCAAGACUGGCCGAGGACUGUGAACAGAUUUGGAGUAUUGGGAGCAGCCCCAUAGGAAGAAUCUGGAACGGAAGUGCUGAGUGCCACAGACCAUGCAGUCAGGUGACUGUGGGUGAAAUUGUUGUCAGCAAGUGCGUCAAUAUCACACUGACCAUUUUAUGUGUGGAGGAUUAUAUGACUGAAUAUCGGAUUCAUUUUAAAGGCAUCAACCCUUCGCCACAAAUUCAGCCCAAGAACAGAGCACGCUAUGGUUUCUAUGCAAGUGUUGCUGUCCUUGGUACCCUGCUUUCAGUGGCUUUGGUGGGACUGUUCCACUGCUACAGAUCUCACCACCAUGGCUCCAGAAACACCGAAGUGAUUCAACUUUAAUUAUACAAUGUUAGCCUACACACUAUGUUAAUAUGCAUAAAAAAUACCUUUAUUUAUUUAUUUAUAUAUAUAUAUGUAUAUGUAUGUAUAUGUAUAUAUAUGUAUAAUAUAUAUAAGUAUAUAUAUAUAUUAGGGGUGGCAACUGGUGUAAAAGUAGAGGAGGCAGUGGAUAGGGCAAGGUGGAGGCAGAGCGGUUGGUUUUGUGGUACGUUAAAUCUGAACGAGAGAAAGUGGAACGGGAAAAUUCGAACGAGAAGCAACUUCAGCCUCGUAAAACAGCCGAACAACAAGAGACAUUUUACAAGAAGCUGCUCUACUUCUGAGAGGGAAAGGGGAGGAAAGCGGCUAUAGGUAAAGCUUAAAUCAGAGCAAAGUAAAUCCGUGUUUUCGUUUAUAUUUUUUAGCCUAUAGUAGCACAUUCGAACACACUCAGACAUACUGGGCAUUAAAUGUCUCCCGGUGUGGCUUGAUUUUUGUUUAAAGGACAAAACAUUUAGGCUGUGACUCCUGACUGAACCUGGCUUUAAUGCAGAGCCAGUCAGAUUUCUCACUCAUCCAGCUGUGUUCUUGUUAUGUGCCGUCACAGACUGUCCAGGUGCUGCACUUAUCCACUUCCAACUUCUGCCUUUUACAUUCCGUCAACACUACGGUAUAAAUUAAAUAUUUAGAAAAUCGGUUUUUGACAUUUAUGAAUCGAUUCAGAAUCGUUCACAUCCGCUUUGCGAUGCAUCGAAGAAUCGAGUUUUUCUUGCAUCCUUUUAUAUAUGUGUAUAUAUAUAUAUAGUCCAUUUUAUGAGCUCCACUUACUAUAUAGGUGCACUUUGUAGUUCUACAGUUACAGACUGUAGUCCAUCUGUCUGUCUGCACACUUUACUAGCUCCUUUUCACGCUGUUCUUCAGUGGUAAGGACCCCCAGAUGACCACCACAAAGCAAGUAUUAUUUGGGUGGUGGAUCACUCUCAGCACUGCAAUGACACAGACAUGGCGGUGGUGUGUUAGUGCAGCAGUGCUGCUGGAGUUUUUAAACAACUCAAUUUAUAGUCCACCAGCCAAAAAUAUCCAGCAAACAGUGCCCUGUGGGCAGUGUCCUGUGACCACUGAUGAAGGACUAGAAGAUGAGCAACAGAAACUGUGCAGCAGCAGAUGUGCUAUCGUCUCUGACUUUACAUCUACAAGGUGGACUGACAAGGUAGGUGUGUGUAAUAGAGUGGACAGUGAGUGGACAUUUUGUGUAUGUUUGAUUUUAUAGAAAAACUAAAUAAUACAUUUGAAGCUGUGGAAGCAUCAUAUAAUAUAAUAUAUAAAAGUAUAGUAUAAAUUUAAAAUAAAAGAUUCAAUAUAAAUAAAAUUAAAUGAAAUAUAGAAAUACUUAUGGAUGCU
Molecule: long non-coding RNA, 1887 nt
Organism: Pygocentrus nattereri (red-bellied piranha)
Lineage: Eukaryota; Metazoa; Chordata; Actinopteri; Characiformes; Serrasalmidae
Source: Ensembl